This 492-nucleotide ribosomal RNA is filed under the name uncultured bacterium. Its description in RNAcentral is "partial 16S ribosomal RNA". It matches the Rfam family "Bacterial small subunit ribosomal RNA", at positions 29 to 507 of the family's 1533-position model. The record is from RNAcentral.
AGUGAACGCUGGCGGUAGGCCUAACACAUGCAAGUCGAACGGCAGCACAGUAAGAGCUUGCUCUUACGGGUGGCGAGUGGCGGACGGGUGAGGAAUACAUCGGAAUCUACUUUUUCGUGGGGGAUAACGUAGGGAAACUUACGCUAAUACCGCAUACGACCUACGGGUGAAAGCAGGGGAUCUUCGGACCUUGCGCGAUUGAAUGAGCCGAUGUCGGAUUAGCUAGUUGGCGGGGUAAAGGCCCACCAAGGCGACGAUCCGUAGCUGGUCUGAGAGGAUGAUCGGCCACACUGGAACUGAGACACGGUCCAGACUCCUACGGGAGGCAGCAGUAGGGAAUCUUGGACAAUGGGCGCAAGCCUGAUCCAGCAAUACCGCGUGGGUGAAGAAGGCCUUCGGGUCGUAAAGCCCUUUUGUUGGGAAAGAACAGCAGCAGGUUAAUACGCGGCUGUUCUGACGGUACCCAAAGAAUAAGCACCGGCUAACUUCGUG